GACCGAUAGUGAACCAGUACCGUGAGGGAAAGGCGAAAAGAACCCCGGCGAGGGGAGUGAAAAAGAACCUGAAACCGUGUACGUACAAGCAGUGGGAGCCCCACCACUAAGCCAGUGGUGAACUCCACAUACGCAUCCUUUGCUGAGGAUACGGUUAACGGAGCGAAAGCGACGUUCAACCUCAAAAGAAGCAGAGGGGGCUUAGUGGUGGGGUGACUGCGUACCUUUUGUAUAAUGGGUCAGCGACUUAUAUUCUGUAGCAAGGUUAACCGAAUAGGGGAGCCGGAGGGAAACCGAGUCUUAAUUGGGCG
This 311-nucleotide ribosomal RNA is filed under the name Salmonella enterica subsp. enterica serovar Senftenberg. RNAcentral's name for it is "bacterial LSU rRNA". It matches the Rfam family "Bacterial large subunit ribosomal RNA", at positions 482 to 694 of the family's 2925-position model. Lineage: Bacteria; Pseudomonadati; Pseudomonadota; Gammaproteobacteria; Enterobacterales; Enterobacteriaceae. RNAcentral also lists the same sequence under 2 other names. The record is from RNAcentral.